UACGAAGGGUGCAAACGUUGCUCGGAAUUAUUGGGCGUAAAGCGCACGUAGGCGGCUUUGCAAGUCGGAUGUGAAAUCCCUCGGCUUAACCAAGGAAGUGCAUCCGAAACUGCAGAGCUUGAGUACUUAAGAGGAUCGCGGAAUUCCCGGUGUAGAGGUGAAAUUCGUAGAUAUCAGGAGGAACACCGGUGGCGAAGGCGGCCAUCUGGACGACAACUGACGCUGAGAUGCGAAAGCGUGGGGAGCAAACAGG
RNAcentral lists this ribosomal RNA (253 nucleotides) under uncultured bacterium. Its description in RNAcentral is "partial 16S ribosomal RNA". It matches the Rfam family "Bacterial small subunit ribosomal RNA", at positions 524 to 776 of the family's 1533-position model. The record is from RNAcentral.